This 373-nucleotide ribosomal RNA is filed under the name uncultured organism. RNAcentral describes it as "partial 16S ribosomal RNA". It matches the Rfam family "Bacterial small subunit ribosomal RNA", at positions 527 to 896 of the family's 1533-position model. The record is from RNAcentral.
GUAGGUGGCAAGCGUUGUCCGGAAUUAUUGGGCGUAAAGCGCGCGCAGGCGGUCCUUUAGGUCUGAUGUGAAAGCCCACGGCUCAACCGUGGAGGGUCAUUGGAAACUGGGGGACUUGAGUACAGAAGAGAAAAGCGGAAUUCCAAGUGUAGCGGUGAAAUGCGUAGAGAUUUGGAGGAACACCAGUGGCGAAGGCGGCUUUCUGGUCUGUAACUGACGCUGAGGCGCGAAAGCGUGGGGAGCAAACAGGGAUUAGAUACCCUGGUAGUCCACGCCGUAAACGAUGAGUGCUAAGUGUUAGGGGGUUUCCCGCCCCUUAGUGCUGCAGCUAACGCAUUAAGCACUCCGCCUGGGGAGUACGGCCGCAAGGCUG